Molecule: ribosomal RNA, 253 nt
Filed under: uncultured bacterium
Lineage: Bacteria
Description: partial 16S ribosomal RNA
Rfam family: Bacterial small subunit ribosomal RNA
Source: RNAcentral
UACGGGGGGGGCGAGCGUUGUUCGGAAUUACUGGGCGUAAAGGGCGCGUAGGCGGUUCGCUAAGUUGGAUGUGAAAACUCGAGGCUUAACCUCGAGAUGUCAUCGGAAACCAUCUGGCUAGAGUCCGGAAGAGGAGAGUGGAAUUCCUGGUGUAGCGGUGAAAUGCGCAGAUAUCAGGAAGAACACCCGUGGCUAAGGCGGUUCUCUAGUACGGUACUGACGCUGAGACGCGAAAGCGUGGGGAGCGAACAGG